Setaria italica (foxtail millet) is the source of this 2914-nucleotide RNA transcript. RefSeq lists it as uncharacterized. The record is from RefSeq and is a predicted model, not a curated record. NCBI's taxonomy places the organism in Eukaryota, Viridiplantae, Streptophyta, Magnoliopsida, Poales, Poaceae. The transcript is spliced from 5 exons.
CCCCCCUACUUCUCUCCUCUCUUCUCUCUCCUCGUCUGAAAAAACCCACCCCGCAGCAUCGGCUCCGCGCAGAUUCGCUCCCGUCCCCGCGGCCAUGGCGGCGACCUUCUCCAUCAGGCGCUGCGCCGAAGCGAUGCGAGGUACGCCGGCGGCGGCGCUCGGCCCCUUCGACCUCGCCGCCCGGGAUUUGCCGCCGAUGGAGGUCCGGUUCUUCCGAUGGUGGGAGGAUGAGUUUGCGGCUAUCAAGGCGGCUGAGGCGGAGGUGGAGGUGGAGGCGGAGGCGGAGCCUGUGGCGGAAGUGGACGAAGACGAGGAGGAGGCGCCGGGGAACGGGCGGACGCCGAAGAAGCGGUUCGUCUCCGACCUCUUCGCGGCGGCGCCUGCCGUGGACGCCGUCGUCGUCCCCAACCCCGCUGCGGACGAGGAGGAGGUCCUCGGCUCCAUCGUCAGGCGGCACAAGGAGAUGCGGAGGAAGCGGCGCCUGGAGGGAGCGGCGGCGGACGAGCCGGAGUCGUCGGCGGCGGCGGAACGGCGUGCGGCGGAGGGGAAUUUCGCCAGAAAGACAUCACUUGACAAGCCAAAUUUGGGAGAUGGGCUGGAUACUCCUGAUGCAUCAGAGGAACAUGAGGAUGAACAUCAUCUCAGUACAGAGAGGGAAAAGAUCACUGAUCUUAAGAGAAGGAAGCAUGGAAGACUCAAUAAUAGCUUACAGAAGAAGGCUAAUAGGCUGAAGUAUAUUGGGAGUACAAAGGCUAUUAAGGUGGGGAAACAUCGGGAUAUUAAAAAACUCCCGUUGCACAGCAUUCUGAAGAAGUACACGAAGCAUACAUCCGUCAAAAUGGUUAAGGAAAAGCAUGGCAAUUCAAAAGGCCCUGGAGUCAUAGAACUCUGCCGCAAAUCGGUUAAGCGUGUCAAAUUCUCAGAAGCAAAUGGUGCACUUGGCAGUAAGAAGCAAUGUUCCAAAAGACCCCAACUAGAAAGUAUCUGCCAGCUACUGUCUGAUGCUAUGAAUUCUUCUUCAUCAUCAUCCAUAGAAAUGUCCAGUGAAGAGGAACACAUUAUUGCAGAAAGCAGUAGUUCUCGCAUGCCUGAGAAAGCCUUUGCUAUGGCUAAGGAUGCAAAUGAUAACACAAAUCGUGAUUAUCAAUCCGAGCGCAGUAGUACUGUAAUGUCCACUGGUUUAUUUGAUCUGAAUAAAAAAUUGCCAGAUCCUGCUGACUUGAACAGCCCUUAUGAUCCAAAUUCAGAGGAGUCAUGUCUUCAGCAUACACAGGUUGGAACUCAGUGUAUGGAUCAACAAGUUAUUGACAAUGGAAAAAGAAGCCAUAAAGAGUCGUCUUUCACUCCAUAUGCCCAAGAAGAACAGCAACAUGCAGCUGACUUGGACAACAGAAUGAAGUCCCCGUGUAUACUGCGAAACCAAACUGUUCAGGAUUCGGUUCAGCUGCAAAAUUGGUGCUCCAUGACUAUGCAUCAUGGUGUCUCUCAGCUCUCAACUGGAGGUGAACCUUCUUCCUUUCAAUUUCGAGGACAUAAUCUAUCACACAGUGAGAAACAAAUUUUUCAUUCAGAAAUGAACACGCAACAAGGUUCUAGGCCUUCUGCAGGACAAACCUUGCGCUUGAUGGGUCGUGAUCUUACAGUAUCCAAUACUAGAGUCGACAAUUGGUCUGAGGCGGCACAGAAACAACCAAAUCCUACUAAAGACCAUCUUACCAACAGGUUGGUGUUGGAACUGCCACGACAAGGUCAGCCUUUCCUAUCAUUACAAACUCAGAGUAUUCCCAACAUUUCAGCAAGUUCUGCAAGCACGGUAGCUCAUAUUUCAGCAAGUUCAGGAAGCACAACUCAGGCACAUUUUAGACACAGAACCCCACAUAAUGUCAGCCACCCUUUGCCCGCUGCCAAUGUGUUCCCUGGUGAUCCAAGAUGUGAAGACAGGUGGAGGGACUUUACAGACUUGCAAUCUCAUAGAAAUGUUCUAUUUGGAUGUCCACCACUUUCCAAUCAUGGCAGUGCUGCCUUUAUUCAGAAUUCGCCACCUCCUUGGUGUUAUUACUCUGAUCAUUCCACUAAGACAGAUUCGCCCUCAGCACCAUUUUCACCAAUAAAUAUGGAGCAUGUGACACCGUCUUCAGAUUACCAUGCCAAUUUGCCUAUGUCAUAUGGUCUGUACUCUGCAAACUCAUCAGUUCACCGUAAUAACUCUGCAAAUUUUACAUGGAACCACCCAGACCAGAUAGUUCAAGGAGUUCCUGAUAGCAGAGCCUCAGCAGCCCUUCCAUCCAGAAACGCAGGAACUCGAAUGGCAAGAGCUGAUCCUGACAAUGCUACUUCAUCUAGCAGCCGUUUUGUGCUGAGGUCAGGCCCAGUGAAGCUCAGCCCCGGGGCGAAGCAUAUCCUGAUACCGAGUGAGAAUACAGAGGAUGGCAAUUCCGCACCAAUGUACUCUUGUGUGUCCUUUGGUAGCAGUAAUGGAAAUGUUUCGGCUCCUCACCAGAACAAAGGAGCAGGUUCCCGUAGGUUCUAGUCCAAAAUCAUAUGUUUUCUGAGCAGCUCCUGAUGAAGAGGUUACAGGUUUUGAAGGGAGUACUUCAUGGUAUCAAGCAUGGACGUGCUACAUGAAUUGAAGCUGAUGGCAUAAGCAAUCGAUGGCGAUGGUGAUGUGAGAGGAUACAAUGUACUGUGUGGAGGAUACCUGAUCUCAUAUGGAGGGUACAUGGUUUUGUUCCGUGGCUUGGAAGACUUCGACAGAUCCCUUUAGUUCUGCAGUUGUUUAUUCCCUUUUUUUAAAAAAAAGACAAAAAUUUGAAAAAUGGCAAGUGAGCUCAGGUGUGUGACAAAAAUUUGAACUGGUUGUGCCAUCUGGAGUUCAUGGCUUUAAGGGAAAACUAGACAAGGUAGUUCUUUUUUA